This 2171-nucleotide long non-coding RNA is filed under the name Penaeus chinensis. Its description in RNAcentral is "uncharacterized LOC125038730". The record is from RNAcentral. Lineage: Eukaryota; Metazoa; Arthropoda; Malacostraca; Decapoda; Penaeidae.
ACAGCCAGGGCCAUCUUGCUCUCUGUAUGAGAUUAUUGCAACCACUCUGCAGCGUGAGAAGCAAUAAAGCACUGGAGUUAGAGCUGAUAUCUGGAGAAUUCCCUGAUGAUGCAAAUGAAGAACCUCUUAGUACAGGUAACAACAGCAGCAGCACCUGUUAUAACACCACAAGGAUUACAAGGACUCAAAAAAAGCUAAUUUCCAGGAAGAGAAAACAGCUCGUCUCAGGAAGAAGACAUAUGCAUGCGGAAUUACAAAAUUUUGAAUAAUUAGAAAAUACCAGAGAAGAGAAUGCAAAGAUAAGGAGGGAAUUUCAGUAAGAAUAGCAGAAAAAAUAGAGAGAUUAAAGCAAGUAAACUUUCUCCAUCUUCGCCUUUUGUCUCUUUGUUUUUGACAAUUUGCCAUGGAAUUACCUGUGUCUCAGAAAUACACCCUCACGUGUUGGUGUAAGGCAAAAACCAAAUCUCCUAUAAUAAGUAGGUCCUCAGAAGGAAUCCAUGGUCUAGUUUCCAUCUUGUUGAACAGUCUGAUUGAUCUAAAUACUCUACUGUCAUUGGCACAACCUGGAAAUCCUGUGUGUAUGCAUGUAAAUUUCUGAUAAACUGUAAAAACAGCUAUUAAGUUUACACUGUUCAUUAUUCUGACAAGGUAGUUAGACUACAGGUUCUCGGCUUCACCACUGAUAUGGCAAGCAACAAGAGCACCAAUCACACUUGGCUGAUGAGAAAAUGCUGAAAUUCUCUUUCCCUUUCCUACUUGCUUGUGCCGUGACAGCACAAGACUUCUAAUAUUUUCAGGUCAAAUGUGACUGCUUUUGACACUCCAAACAAUUAUUUAACUUCACUAUAUGGCAUAGGAGUUCCUAAAUAACAGUCAUACAAAUGGCUUUUUUAAGUCCUAGAUGAUGGGUGUCACAGUGAUGGUCCUUCGGCCAAUGUAACACUCAUAAUGGUCAUAAAUGGCCUACAGGUGGCAGGAAAAAUUAUUAGCAUGUGAAGUUAGAAACACUCGCAGUGCAGUUAGUUGAAAAUAAGGUUACUUUUUUCUACAUGUAUGAUAUCAUAACAAAGUAGACCUCAUAUUUAAAACUAAAAUACAAUAAACUGUUGCAUCUCAUGCAUGAUUAAUGCAUACACUUUAUCAGUUUGUUACCAUUACUAUCACCAUACAAAAUUGAUUAAGUAAAAUAAACAUAAUCAGCCAAUUUUUAAUGAUGUCCUGGGAACAAUGAUAUCCUUUUAUUGGCCAUCAAGACAGUAGCUGAAAUAAAAAUUGGGCCUCAAAGGAUUUUGAGUUUGCCAUCCCUGUCUAGAAAGAGGCUGGUACCUAAAGGUCUGGACCAUAUACAGCUUUCAUAUCCUUAAACAUCAAAUUAUGUUUUUGUAACUCUAAGGUGCUUAAGUAGGUCCUGGUUACUCUCCCUUGUUCUAGAAUUUCAACAAAGCCUCCUUGCUGUGGAUGAAUUUCCUUGAAGAAGAAGGGCACACAAAAACAAAAACUUGGAAAAAACAACUCUGGCUAAAAAAUAUAUGGUUUCUAUAUCAUGUAAAGUAAUAUUACAUACAAACAUAUAUCUUCCCAAGAUUUUGUAAUCAUCAGCAAAUAAUUUUUUGACAAUUCACUACACAUUAUACAGUUGCCUGUGUGUUCAUUAUAUUAUUCAAAGAUGCAUAUAUGAAAAGGACCUUAAUUUAUCAUAAAAUAUUUUGUUACAGUUAUUUCCUUUAAAUCAUCUAUAUUCAUGAUAAUAAAACACUAUAAGUCUAUAAGUAAUGCCAGGACCAUUUUUUGUUCAACUUGUGUCCCACAAUUAAUUAUGAAAUAAACAUAAAUGAAUAAAAAAAAAAUUAAAAAAAAUCUAUUAAUAACUUGAGAAAUAUGCCAAUAGCAAGAAGCAUGUGUACCACACUAAAGGGAUAUCUUAUUAACUCGCUUCAUUUCUUUAUAAGUAAGGGUUCUGUAUGUUGUGGAAAAUGGUUCAAUUGGUUCUGCCUAAGUGGAAGGGUUGGGAAUCACUGAUCUAAAAAAUAAAACCAAUGAGUCAUUUCUCUCUCCCAUUGGCUAAUUAUACUACAUGGGAGCUUUGAUAUCUAUGGAAAUGUAACCUAUUCUUUUUGGGAAAUCGCUGUUUUAUAACACACAGAGCAACACUUACAAAAAAGGAGACUGCA